GAAUAUUUAAGAUAUCAAAAACUUCAGUUACUUGUAUUUAUAAAAUGUCUUUAGUUUUAAGUGAGAAAGAAAACAUUUCAAUUUCGUUGAGGCUAUUACAUCCAUCAGUUUCUGCCGUCAAGGUUUUCGGUUUGAGAUUUACAAUAGUGGAUGAACAAGUGCACAACAUUAAAACUAGAUGUUUCCAAUUUUACUCCAAUCUGAUAGCAAUUUUUUUCUUUUCCAAUGCAUUUUUAUUUUUAUCAAUGGCGAUUAGGAGCGAUAUCGUUUGUGCAAAAUCCUUUCGAGUAUUUGCAGGCAAACAAGGAUA
RNAcentral lists this long non-coding RNA (310 nucleotides) under Androctonus crassicauda. Lineage: Eukaryota; Metazoa; Arthropoda; Arachnida; Scorpiones; Buthidae. The record is from RNAcentral.